UAAGCGGAGGAAAAGAAACUAACAAGGAUUCCCCUAGUAGCGGCGAGCGAAGCGGGAAGAGCUCAAAUUUGUAAUCUGGCACCUUCGGUGUCCGAGUUGUAAUCUCGAGAAGUGUUUUCCGCGCCAGACCGCAUACAAGUCUGUUGGAAUACAGCGUCAUAGUGGUGAGAACCCCGUAUAUGAUGCGGAUGCCUGGUGCUCUGUGAUACACUUUCGAAGAGUCGAGUUGUUUGGGAAUGCAGCUCAAAUUGGGUGGUAAAUUCCAUCUAAAGCUAAAUAUUGGCGAGAGACCGAUAGCGAACAAGUACCGUGAGGGAAAGAUGAAAAGCACUUUGGAAAGAGAGUUAACAGUACGUGAAAUUGUUGGAAGGGAAACGCUUGAAGUCAGACUUGCUAUUUGGAAUUCAGCCGCAAGGUGUAUUUUUCAAUUUGCAGGCCAGCAUCAGUUUUCGGGGGUGGAAAAGGAUUAGGAGAAGGUAGCAGUUUCGGCUGUGUUAUAGCUCUUAAUUGGAUUCAUCCCUGGGGACUGAGGAACGCAGCUUCGGCUUAGGAUGCUGGUGGAAUGGCUUUAAACGACCCGUCUUGAAACACG
This 592-nucleotide ribosomal RNA is filed under the name Pseudohyphozyma bogoriensis. RNAcentral describes it as "eukaryotic LSU rRNA". It matches the Rfam family "Eukaryotic large subunit ribosomal RNA", at positions 47 to 663 of the family's 3401-position model. Lineage: Eukaryota; Fungi; Basidiomycota; Microbotryomycetes; Chrysozymaceae. The record is from RNAcentral.